RNAcentral lists this ribosomal RNA (253 nucleotides) under uncultured bacterium. RNAcentral describes it as "partial 16S ribosomal RNA". It matches the Rfam family "Bacterial small subunit ribosomal RNA", at positions 524 to 776 of the family's 1533-position model. The record is from RNAcentral.
UACGUAGGAGGCGAGCGUUGUCCGGAUUUACUGGGCGUAAAGGGCUCGUAGGCGGCCAACUAAGUCAUACGUGAAAUCCCUCAGCUUAACUGGGGAACUGCGUGUGAUACUGGAUGGCUUGGAUUUGGGAGAGGGAUGCGGAAUUCCAGGUGUAGCGGUGAAAUGCGUAGAUAUCUGGAGGAACACCGGUGGCGAAGGCGGCAUCCUGGACCAAUACUGACGCUGAGGAGCGAAAGCCAGGGGAGCAAACGGG